UUGACCUCAAAUCAGGUAAGAUUACCCGCUGAACUUAA
This 38-nucleotide ribosomal RNA is filed under the name Yamadazyma mexicana. RNAcentral's name for it is "partial 28S ribosomal RNA". The record is from RNAcentral. Lineage: Eukaryota; Fungi; Ascomycota; Pichiomycetes; Serinales; Debaryomycetaceae.